RNAcentral lists this ribosomal RNA (253 nucleotides) under uncultured bacterium. RNAcentral's name for it is "partial 16S ribosomal RNA". It matches the Rfam family "Bacterial small subunit ribosomal RNA", at positions 524 to 776 of the family's 1533-position model. The record is from RNAcentral.
UACGAACCGUGCGAACGUUAUUCGGAAUCACUGGGCUUAAAGGGUGCGUAGGCUGCGAGGAGGGUGGGGUGUGAAAUCCCUCGGCUUAACCGAGGAAUUGCGCUCCAAACCGCCUUGCUGGAGUGAGACAGAGGUGAGCGGAACUAAUGGUGGAGCGGUGAAAUGCGUUGAUAUCAUUAGGAACACCAGAGGCGAAGGCGGCUCACUGGGUCUCAACUGACGCUGAUGCACGAAAGCUAGGGUAGCGAACGGG